This is a non-coding RNA of Pelobates cultripes (western spadefoot toad), 361 nucleotides long. The record is from the annotation of a GenBank genome assembly. Lineage: Eukaryota; Metazoa; Chordata; Amphibia; Anura; Pelobatidae.
AUAAAACUUACCAGGAAAGGUGAAAGGAUCUUAACAUGUAUAGCUUGGAGGAAAGACGAGACAGGGGGGAUAUGAUAGAAACAUUUAAAUACAUAAAGGGAAUCAACACAGUAAAGGAGGAGACUAUAUUUAAAAGAAGAAAAACUACCACAACAAGAGUACAUAGUCUUAAAUUAGAGGGACAAAGGUUUAAAAAUAAUAUCAGGAAGUAUUACUUUACUGAGAGGGUAGUGGAUGCAUGGAAUAGCCUUCCAGCUGAAGUGGUAGAGGUUAACACAGUAAAGGAGUUUAAGCAUGCGUGGGAUAGGCAUAAGGCUACCCUAGAUUUAAGAUAAGGCCAGGGACCAGUGGCGUACAUACC